AUAAUCAUUUGCCUUUUAAUUGAAGGCUAGAAUGAAAGUACUGACGGGGGGCCGCUGACUCGACCUUGCCAGACGAACUUGACUGCGGGGUUAAAAUGCCUCGAUGCUCUAGAAGGACGACAAGACCCUAUAAAACUUCACUACCCCCGGUUGCCACCCCAAGGUCACCUGCAAAGCCGAAUGUAGUUUAGCUGGGGCGGCCAACCCCCUCCGGGACCGUAACCAAACACCGUGCGUGAUCCCUUGAACAUUAUUAAAUAGGAAGACCAAGUUACUUUAGGGAUAACAGCGCAAUAAUUUCGAAGAGCCCCUAUCGAUGAAAUUGGUUGCGACCUCGAUGUUGAAUUGGAGCCCCCCCCGGAGCAGCCCCCGGGGAAAGGAGGUCUGUUCGACCUUUAAUCCUCCACGUGAU
RNAcentral lists this ribosomal RNA (412 nucleotides) under Excirolana mayana. RNAcentral's name for it is "partial 16S ribosomal RNA". It matches the Rfam family "Bacterial large subunit ribosomal RNA", at positions 1956 to 2604 of the family's 2925-position model. Lineage: Eukaryota; Metazoa; Arthropoda; Malacostraca; Isopoda; Cirolanidae. The record is from RNAcentral.